Cyprinus carpio (common carp) is the source of this 436-nucleotide long non-coding RNA. RefSeq lists it as uncharacterized. NCBI's taxonomy places the organism in Eukaryota, Metazoa, Chordata, Actinopteri, Cypriniformes, Cyprinidae. The transcript has 4 exons. The record is from RefSeq and is a predicted model, not a curated record.
AACGUUUAUGCCAGCGGUCAACUACUAGGAAGCUACAUUUUUGACAUCUGUGUUUAAUGUUCAUCUAACAGCACGGGUCGGUGAAGAAGUGAUGUUUGAUGAUCUGCCACGUGAUGCUGAGAGCGUCAAGCAUUUAACAAACACCGGCUCGAUAGAUGUGUGGAGGAGAGAGCAGGGUGUCCUGACUGAUCGACUGACUGACAAUGAUGGUCACCUGAUCAUUAAAAACUUCAGAUCAAGUGACGCUGGAACAUACAGAGUCCUGGACUCAACAGGAGAGUCCUGGUCACCGUGACGCUCACAGAAUGGGGUACAGAAUCAAAGGACAAACAGGACAGCACACGUGAUGACAAAACUGAAAGCACUAAAAGAGUUUAUUUUUGUACUUGGAUUGUGAUUGGUGUUGUGGGGACUCUGAUUGCAUUUAUUGUCAUGA